This 460-nucleotide ribosomal RNA is filed under the name uncultured bacterium. Its description in RNAcentral is "partial 16S ribosomal RNA". It matches the Rfam family "Bacterial small subunit ribosomal RNA", at positions 338 to 795 of the family's 1533-position model. The record is from RNAcentral.
CCUACGGGUGGCUGCAGUGAGGAAUAUUCGUCAAUGGGCGCGAGCCUGAACCAGCCAACUAGCGUGAAGGAUGACUGCCCUACGGGUUGUAAACUUCUUUUGUAAGGGGAUAAAGUGAGGCACGAGUGCCUUUUUGUUUGUACUUUAUGAAUAAGGAUCGGCUAACUCCGUGCCAGCAGCCGCGGUAAUACGGAGGAUCCGAGCGUUAUCCGGAUUUAUUGGGUUUAGAGGGAGCGUAGAUGGGUUGUUAAGUCAGUUGUGAAAGUUCUGGGCUCAACCGUAAAAGUGCAGUUGAUACUGGCAGCCUUGAGUACGGUUGAGGUAGGCGGAAUUCGUGGUGUAGCGGUGAAAUGCUUAGAUAUCACGAAGAACACCGAUUGCGAAGGCAGCCUACUAAACUGACACUGACAUUGAGGCUCGAAAGUGUGGGUAUCAAACAGGAGUAGAUACCCGGGUAGUC